UUAAGUGAAUAAGGGCGCACGGUGGAUGCCUUGGCACUAGGAGCCGAUGAAGGACGGGACUAACACCGAUAUGCUUUGGGGAGCUGUAAGUAAGCUAUGAUCCAGAGAUUUCCGAAUGGGGGAACCCAAUAUCUUUUAUAGGAUAUUACUUUUCAGUGAAUACAUAGCUGAUUAGAGGUAGACGCAGAGAACUGAAACAUCUUAGUACCUGCAGGAAGAGAAAGAAAAUUCGAUUCCCUGAGUAGCGGCGAGCGAAACGGGAAGAGCCCAAACCAACAAGCUUGCUUGUUGGGGUUGUAGGACUCCAAUAUGGUAGUCUGUUAGUAUAGUUGAAGGAUUUGGAAAAUUCCGCUAAAGAGGGUGAAAGCCCCGUAGACGAAAUGCUGACAACACCUAGGAGGAUCCUGAGUACGGCGGAACACGAGAAAUUCCGUCGGAAUCCGCGGGGACCAUCCCGCAAGGCUAAAUACUCCCUAGUGACCGAUAGUGAACCAGUACCGUGAGGGAAAGGUGAAAAGCACCCCGGAAGGGGAGUGAAAUAGAUCCUGAAACCGUGUGCCUACAACAAGUCAAAGCUCGUUAAUGAGUGAUGGCGUGCCUUUUGUAGAAUGAACCGGCGAGUUACGAUUGCAUGCGAGGUUAAGUCGAAGAGACGGAGCCGCAGCGAAAGCGAGUCUGAAUAGGGCGAAUGAGUAUGUAGUCGUAGACCCGAAACCAUGUGAUCUACCCAUGUCCAGGUUGAAGGUGCGGUAAAACGCACUGGAGGACCGAACCCACGUACGUUGAAAAGUGCGGGGAUGAGGUGUGGGUAGCGGAGAAAUUCCAAACGAACUUGGAGAUAGCUGGUUCUCUCCGAAAUAGCUUUAGGGCUAGCCUCGGAAUUGAGAAUGAUGGAGGUAGAGCACUGUUUGGACUAGGGGCCCAUCUCGGGUUACCGAAUUCAGAUAAACUCCGAAUGCCAUUCAUUUAUAUCCGGGAGUCAGACUGCGAGUGAUAAGAUCCGUAGUCGAAAGGGAAACAGCCCAGACCACCAGCUAAGGUCCCAAAAUAUAUGUUAAGUGGAAAAGGAUGUGGGGUUGCACAGACAACUAGGAUGUUGGCUUAGAAGCAGCCACCAUUUAAAGAGUGCGUAAUAGCUCACUAGUCGAGUGACCCUGCGCCGAAAAUGUACCGGGGCUAAACAUAUUACCGAAGCUGUGGACUACACCAUUAGGUGUAGUGGUAGGAGAGCGUUCUAAGGGCGUUGAAGGUCGAUCGUGAGGACGGCUGGAGCGCUUAGAAGUGAGAAUGCCGGUAUGAGUAGCGAAAGACAGGUGAGAAUCCUGUCCACCGUAUGACUAAGGUUUCCUGGGGAAGGCUCGUCCGCCCAGGGUUAGUCGGGACCUAAGCCGAGGCCGAUAGGCGUAGGCGAUGGACAACAGGUUGAUAUUCCUGUACCAGUUGUUUUUGUUUGAGCAAUGGAGGGACGCAGUAGGCUAAGGAAUGCAUGCGAUUGGAAGUGCAUGUCCAAGCAAUGAGUCUUGAGUAGAGUUAAAUGCUUUACUCUUUAAGGACAAGUUGUGAUGGGGAGCGAAAUAAUAGUAGCGAAGUUCCUGAUGUCACACUGCCAAGAAAAGCUUCUAGUGAGAAAACAACUGCCCGUACCGUAAACCGACACAGGUAGUCGAGGAGAGUAUCCUAAGGUGAGCGAGCGAACUCUCGUUAAGGAACUCGGCAAAAUGACCCCGUAACUUCGGGAGAAGGGGUGCUGACUUCGGUCAGCCGCAGUGAAUAGGCCCAAGCGACUGUUUAUCAAAAACACAGGUCUCUGCAAAAUCGUAAGAUGAAGUAUAGGGGCUGACGCCUGCCCGGUGCUGGAAGGUUAAGAGGAUGGGUUAGCUUCGGCGAAGCUCAGAAUUGAAGCCCCAGUAAACGGCGGCCGUAACUAUAACGGUCCUAAGGUAGCGAAAUUCCUUGUCGGGUAAGUUCCGACCCGCACGAAAGGCGUAA
This 1989-nucleotide ribosomal RNA is filed under the name Streptococcus pneumoniae. RNAcentral's name for it is "bacterial LSU rRNA". It matches the Rfam family "Bacterial large subunit ribosomal RNA", at positions 1 to 2004 of the family's 2925-position model. The record is from RNAcentral. Lineage: Bacteria; Bacillati; Bacillota; Bacilli; Lactobacillales; Streptococcaceae.